AAUGAACGCUGGCGGCAGGCCUAACACAUGCAAGGCGAACGGAUCCUUCGGGAUUAGUGGCGGACGGGGGAGUAACGCGUGGGAACAUACCCUUUGGUACAGAAUCGCCUCGGGAAACUGGGAGUAAUACCGCAUGUGGUCGAGAGACGACAGAGUUAUCGCCAAAGGAUUGGCCCGCGUUGGAUUAGGUAGUUGGUGGGGUAAUGGCCUACCAAGCCGACGAUCCAUAGCUGGUUUGAGCGGAUGAUCAGCCACACUGGGACUGAGACACGGCCCAGACUCCUACGGGAGGCAGCAGUGGGGAAUCUUAGACAAUGGGGGAAACCCUGAUCUAGCCAUGCCGCGUGAUCGAUGAAGGCCUUAGGGUUGUAAAGAUCUUUCAGGUGGGAAGAUAAUGACUGUACCACCAGAAGAAGCCCCGGCUAACUCCGUGCCAGCCGCCGCAGUAA
RNAcentral lists this ribosomal RNA (449 nucleotides) under uncultured bacterium. RNAcentral describes it as "partial 16S ribosomal RNA". It matches the Rfam family "Bacterial small subunit ribosomal RNA", at positions 29 to 523 of the family's 1533-position model. The record is from RNAcentral.